CCUUCGGGGUGCUGCAGUGGGGAAUAUUGGACAAUGGGCGAAAGCCUGAUCCAGCCAUGCCGCGUGUGUGAAGAAGGCCUUCGGGUUGUAAAGCACUUUCAGUGGGGAAGAAAGCCUUGGGGCUAAUACCCUCGAGGAAGGACAUCACCCACAGAAGAAGCACCGGCUAACUCCGUGCCAGCAGCCGCGGUAAUACGGAGGGUGCGAGCGUUAAUCGGAAUUACUGGGCGUAAAGCGCGCGUAGGCGGUCUGAUAAGCCGGUUGUGAAAGCCCCGGGCUCAACCUGGGAACGGCAUCCGGAACUGUCAGGCUAGAGUGCAGGAGAGGAAGGUAGAAUUCCCGGUGUAGCGGUGAAAUGCGUAGAGAUCGGGAGGAAUACCAGUGGCGAAGGCGGCCUUCUGGACUGACACUGACGCUGAGGUGCGAAAGCGUGGGUAGCAAACAGGAUUAGAUACCCUGGUAGUC
RNAcentral lists this ribosomal RNA (465 nucleotides) under Vreelandella stevensii. Its description in RNAcentral is "partial 16S ribosomal RNA". It matches the Rfam family "Bacterial small subunit ribosomal RNA", at positions 338 to 795 of the family's 1533-position model. The record is from RNAcentral. Lineage: Bacteria; Pseudomonadati; Pseudomonadota; Gammaproteobacteria; Oceanospirillales; Halomonadaceae.